Molecule: long non-coding RNA, 562 nt
Filed under: Phasianus colchicus (ring-necked pheasant)
Lineage: Eukaryota; Metazoa; Chordata; Aves; Galliformes; Phasianidae
Description: lncRNA (ENSPCLG00000008711.1)
Source: RNAcentral
CGUUAACAUUUUUUUUUCUGUAUUUGACUCUUAUUGCUAUUUUAAAUUGGAAGAAUCAGUUUCAGCAGAAUUCAGUUGUUGUGUAGCCUUUCCAAAUGCAUAAAUAGAGAUCCAGGACCUCUCACUGUGACCUUCUGCAGACUGUCUCAUGACGUGGCAGGUCUCCAGUGGGUGUGCUGGGACAGCCUACAUGAUCAUUCCAUCUCCCCAACUCAACCUACUUUACUGAGUUGCUCCAGUUUCUACUUCUGUCGGUGAAAAAGGGAUCAGUACUUGCCCCUGUAGUUUCUUCAGCCUUUUCUCUUGGUCUGAUACAAUGAUCUUCACUUUGAAAGAAGAAACAGAGACAUUUUUAACAGCAGAGAGACUUCACAAGUGCUGCCUGAAAAUUAUGGCUGUUCGCUCUCUAUGGACUAUUAACCUUGAUUGUAUGUCAACCAUAUAUUUUGUCUGAAUUUCUUACGCAAAUGAAUCUCACAUAUUGUUUUAUAUUGCUGUUAGUACUGCUGUGUGCCUCAGAGGCUUUAAUAAAACAUACCUGCACAUGGCCUACUUCUUUCUU